AGAGUUUGAUCAUGGCUCAGGACGAACGCUGGCGGCGUGCUUAACACAUGCAAGUCGAGCGGAAAGGCCCUUCGGGGUACUCGAGCGGCGAACGGGUGAGUAACACGUGAGUAACCUGCCCUUGGCUUUGGAAUAACCCUCGGAAACGGGGGCUAAUGCCGAAUACUUACUCCCGGACGCAUGUCCGGUUGUAGAAAGUUUUUCGGCCAGGGAUGGACUCGCGGCCUAUCAGCUGGUUGGUGAGGUAACGGCCCACCAAGGCGACGACGGGUAGCCGGCCUGAGAGGGCGACCGGCCACACUGGGACUGAGACACGGCCCAGACUCCUACGGGAGGCAGCAGUGGGGAAUAUUGCACAAUGGGCGAAAGCCUGAUGCAGCGACGCCGCGUGAGGGAAGACGGCCUUCGGAUUGUAAACCUCUUUCAGCUCCGACGAAGCGAAAGUGACGGUACCUGCAGAAGAAGGUCUGGCCAACUACGUGCCAGCAGCGGCGGUAAUAC
Molecule: ribosomal RNA, 501 nt
Filed under: uncultured bacterium
Lineage: Bacteria
Description: bacterial SSU rRNA
Rfam family: Bacterial small subunit ribosomal RNA
Source: RNAcentral